CCUACGGGGCGCAGCAGUGAGGAAUAUUGGUCAAUGGACGAGAGUCUGAACCAGCCAAGUAGCGUGAAGGAUGACUGCCCUAUGGGUUGUAAACUUCUUUUAUAUGGGAAUAAAAUGUUCCACGUGUGGGAUUUUGUAUGUACCAUAUGAAUAAGGAUCGGCUAACUCCGUGCCAGCAGCCGCGGUAAUACGGAGGAUCCGAGCGUUAUCCGGAUUUAUUGGGUUUAAAGGGAGCGUAGGUGGAUUGUUAAGUCAGUGGUGAAAGUUUGCGGCUCAACCGUAAAAUUGCAGUUGAAACUGGCAGUCUUGAGUACAGUAGAGGUGGGCGGAAUUCGUGGUGUAGCGGUGAAAUGCUUAGAUAUCACGAAGAACUCCGAUUGCGAAGGCAGUUCACUGGACUGCAACUGACACUGAGGCUCGAAAGUGUGGGUAUCAAACAGGAUUAGAUACCCUAGUAGUC
This 460-nucleotide ribosomal RNA is filed under the name uncultured bacterium. RNAcentral's name for it is "partial 16S ribosomal RNA". It matches the Rfam family "Bacterial small subunit ribosomal RNA", at positions 338 to 795 of the family's 1533-position model. The record is from RNAcentral.